This 898-nucleotide ribosomal RNA is filed under the name Bostrychia moritziana. RNAcentral's name for it is "eukaryotic LSU rRNA". It matches the Rfam family "Eukaryotic large subunit ribosomal RNA", at positions 1293 to 2160 of the family's 3401-position model. The record is from RNAcentral. Lineage: Eukaryota; Rhodophyta; Florideophyceae; Ceramiales; Rhodomelaceae.
CCUGCCGAAUGAAUUAGCCCUGAAAAUGGAUGGCGCUGAAGCGUGUAGCCGACACUAUGCCGUCUGAGCAAAGUUUUGUUUUGCUUUCAGAUGAGUAGGAGGAACGUAGCGGUUGUACAGAAGCGUAUGCGCAAGCAUGCGUGGAACGGCCGCUAGUGCAGAUCUUGGUGGUAGUAGCAAAUAUUCAAAUGAAAACCUUGAAGGGCGAAGCGGGGAAGGGUUCCACGCGAACAUUGAUUGAGCGUGGGUAAGUCGUUCCUAAGCCGAGUGGUAAUUUCUUGUAAACUCUGGCGAAAGGGAAGCAGGUUGAUAUUCCUGCACACGGAUGUGGACGCGGUGACGCGAGACUGUGGCGGUGAAGCUGUCGGUUGCACUGGGCAGAGAUUUCUUUUCUGUUUAACGGAGCCUGAUGUACUCUAUGGAAUCCGCUUGUCGGGAGAAAUAGGUGUGUCACGGCAAAGCGCUGGGAUUUUUCUGGCGUCCAGCUUGCGACUGGCGGACCUUGAAAAGCUGUCUGCAGGCCCGGAAAAAUGAAAAUUUAUUUUUAAUUUUUCUGUGGUGAGAAAAUCCACGCCGUAACGUACCGAUAACCGCAUCAGGUCCCCAAGGUGAACAGCCUCUGCUCGAUAUGAUUAAUGUAGGUAAGGGAAGUCGGCAAAUUAGACCCGUAACUUUGGGAAAAGGGUUGGCUCUAGUGCUGCGUAGGCGCGGUUUCUGGGGUGUGGGGGGAAGGGUUGUGUUUCUGGUGUGGACGCUGCAGCAAAAUUUUUAAUUUUGUGGUGGUGUCUGUGCUGGAGAUGCGGCUUUUUUUCUGCUCCUGGCAAACCCCUACAGCAUGCAGCAAACUAGAACUGCAACGGACAAAGGGAAUCCGACUGUUUAAUUAAAACAAAGCAUU